CUGUGCAGGUGCCUGAACAAGCAGAGCCUCACAAAAGUGUGCAGGGCUUGCUCUGAAACGUCAGAGCUGUUUGGUGCAGCUUUUUAUUGGGCUGACAGGUGCAGUUAAAAGUGAUUCACAUCCUGAUCAUCAGCUGUGUUUUUCUUUCCUCAGGUUUCAACUGCCCACAAUUAAAGGUAAUAAAUUAGAGAGGAAACACGGAAGAGCUGCAGCAGAACUCUGGAGGUAAAGGUGAGGUACUGGGUGUGGCCUGGUGGCUGCUGGAGUUGUCAGGGACUUCCCAGCCAGGGCUCUCCUUGGCUUUUAUUUUACAGCUGAGGCAGAGAAACUUCAAUACUGCAGUCAGUCAAAACAAAGAAGACAGUUCUUUCAUUUUCAGUUCAAAACAAGACUCUGCAUUCUGGCAGAAAAAGACAGGGCAGAAUGUAUAGUGUUGUAAUUAUAUAAAGUAAAUAGUGUCUGACAUUUUUUAAUUUAUUCCUGGAGAAAAUAGAGAAGUCUUGGUGGACCUACUAGAAAUUGAGGUGGGAAAUGAGCUAAAGUAAAAUUCUUACCAGGAUUUACAGAGCUGAGUAAAUGAGAAAAUGAGUUUCUGUAAACUCCAGCAGAAACCACAUUAGAUAAAUCAGUUCCAGUUCCACAGCAAAGAGGAGACAGCUGAGCCCACAGUAACAGGUACUUCAUAAUAAAAAAUACUAAAUUUGCUUUUUAAAUACAUAUUGUUUGAAAACAAAACCAGCCUAUAAGUAAAUGGCCAUAUGCUUUAUGUACUAGUCUAAUUCAGCUUUUUGACAACCAUUCAUUGCUUUGUGUUUUCUGUGAGUACAAAGUGGAGUUAGAGUGUCUGCUCUGUAGCAUUUACAGGGGCUGGUGAUCUUCAGAGUCUUUGAGGAGCUGUCCUUGCUACCCCCAGGACAGAGAGCUGGCUGGCCUGAGCAGCAACCUGGGUUUUUUCUAAGCAGGCUGCAGCUCUCCUGGCUGCUCCAGGAUGUUUCCACUGGGAUGGAUCAGCUGGAUUUGAAAAGAGCAUUUGCCUGAUGGUGGCCUUGGCCAUGGAAUUGUCUCACCGUGCCCAGCAGCUCCUGGUCUGAGCCCUGUCCCUCGUUAAGGGAGGUCCCUGUGUGCCCUGUGCUGUGCCAUGGAGUGGAGGAAAGACAGCUUCAUCUGAGCUGUGGGAAACCCCCAGCCCUGGUGGGAGCACAAGGAGCACCUGCACCCAGACACCUGCACAGAUUGCCUGAGGACUGGCUGAAGGGCAGGAGUUGGUCAAGAACAGCUGAAGUCCACAGAGGGAGAGCAUGCCACUCUUCCGAGGGAAAAGUGAGUCCUUAUUGUUUUCCCAGCCUUCCUCACUAUCAGACUGAACC
Non-coding RNA from Sturnus vulgaris (Common starling), 1367 nucleotides. The record is from RefSeq and is a predicted model, not a curated record. Lineage: Eukaryota; Metazoa; Chordata; Aves; Passeriformes; Sturnidae.